CCUACGGGUGGCAGCAGUGAGGAAUAUUGGUCAAUGGGCGGGAGCCUGAACCAGCCAAGUCGCGUGAGGGAAGACGGUCCUAUGGAUUGUAAACCUCUUUAGGCGGGGAGCAAUGCCGGGCACGUGUGCCCGGAGGGAGAGUACCCGCAGAAUAAGCAUCGGCUAACUCCGUGCCAGCAGCCGCGGUAAUACGGAGGAUGCGAGCGUUAUCCGGAUUUAUUGGGUUUAAAGGGUGCGUAGGCGGAUUUUUAAGUCAGCGGUAAAAGGUCCGGGCUCAACCCGGGCCGGCCGUUGAAACUGGGGAUCUUGAGUGGGCGAGAAGUAUGCGGAAUGCGUGGUGUAGCGGUGAAAUGCAUAGAUAUCACGCAGAACUCCGAUUGCGAAGGCAACAUACCGGCGCCCGACUGACGCUGAGGCACGAAAGCGUGGGGAUCGAACAGGAUUAGAUACCCUGGUAGUC
Molecule: ribosomal RNA, 460 nt
Filed under: uncultured bacterium
Lineage: Bacteria
Description: partial 16S ribosomal RNA
Rfam family: Bacterial small subunit ribosomal RNA
Source: RNAcentral